CGGAGCUUGCUCCACCGGAAAAAGAGGAGUGGCGAACGGGUGAGUAACACGUGGGUAACCUGCCCAUCAGAAGGGGAUAACACUUGGAAACAGGUGCUAAUACCGUAUAACAAUCGAAACCGCAUGGUUUUGAUUUGAAAGGCGCUUUCGGGUGUCGCUGAUGGAUGGACCCGCGGUGCAUUAGCUAGUUGGUGAGGUAACGGCUCACCAAGGCCACGAUGCAUAGCCGACCUGAGAGGGUGAUCGGCCACAUUGGGACUGAGACACGGCCCAAACUCCUACGGGAGGCAGCAGUAGGGAAUCUUCGGCAAUGGACGAAAGUCUGACCGAGCAACGCCGCGUGAGUGAAGAAGGUUUUCGGAUCGUAAAACUCUGUUGUUAGAGAAGAACAAGGAUGAGAGUAACUGUUCAUCCCUUGACGGUAUCUAACCAGAAAGCCACGGCUAACUACGUGCCAGCAGCCGCGGUAAUACGUAGGUGGCAAGCGUUGUCCGGAUUUAUUGGGCGUAAAGCGAGCGCAGGCGGUUUCUUAAGUCUGAUGUGAAAGCCCCCGGCUCAACCGGGGAGGGUCAUUGGAAACUGGGAGACUUGAGUGCAGAAGAGGAGAGUGGAAUUCCAUGUGUAGCGGUGAAAUGCGUAGAUAUAUGGAGGAACACCAGUGGCGAAGGCGGCUCUCUGGUCUGUAACUGACGCUGAGGCUCGAAAGCGUGGGGAGCAACAGGAUUAGAUACCCUGGUAGUCCACGCCGUAAACGAUGAGUGCUAAGUGUUG
This 771-nucleotide ribosomal RNA is filed under the name Enterococcus sp. FBPers-11_02-11. RNAcentral's name for it is "bacterial SSU rRNA". It matches the Rfam family "Bacterial small subunit ribosomal RNA", at positions 74 to 825 of the family's 1533-position model. The record is from RNAcentral. Lineage: Bacteria; Bacillati; Bacillota; Bacilli; Lactobacillales; Enterococcaceae.